ACGCACGUGUGAAACUUGAAGGAAUUGACGGAAGGCACCACAAGAACGCGUGGAGCAUGUGGCUUAAUUUGACCCAACGCGGGAAAUCUUACCGGGUCCGGACACACUGAGGAUUGACAGGAAAUAUUAUAACUACAUUCGUGUAGUUAUAUGUAAAUAUGCUAGUCCUUUCAUGAUUAUGUGAUAGGUGGUGCAUGGCCGUUCUUAGUUCGUGGAGUGAUCUGUCUGCUUAAUUGCGUUUCACUGAGGACCGUUAUACGUGUAGUGCUUAUGACUAUUACUAUAUAUAAGACUAUAGUAGUCUAUAGACUGGUUUGAUCCCUUUGCACCCUUCGGGGUCAUAGCGCGUGUCUUACCUAACAUUAGACAUACGCUAUUAACUUAUUGUGAUAUGUCAGCACCGCACACGCGAGUCCAGAAAGCAACGAACGUGACCG
This 437-nucleotide ribosomal RNA is filed under the name Foraminifera environmental sample. RNAcentral describes it as "SSU rRNA". It matches the Rfam family "Eukaryotic small subunit ribosomal RNA", at positions 1129 to 1422 of the family's 1831-position model. The record is from RNAcentral. Lineage: Eukaryota; Foraminifera.